AUUGAACGCUGGCGGCAGGCCUAACACAUGCAAGUCGAGCGGAUGAAGGGAGCUUGCUCCUGGAUUCAGCGGCGGACGGGUGAGUAAUGCCUAGGAAUCUGCCUGGUAGUGGGGGAUAACGUCCGGAAACGGGCGCUAAUACCGCCUACGUCCUGAUGGUGAAAGUGGGUGAUCUUCGGACCUCACGCUAUCAGAUGAUCCUAGGUCGGAUUAGAUAGUUGGUGGGGUAAAGGCCUACCAAGGCGACGAUCCGUAACUGGUCUGAGAGGAUGAUCAGUCACACUGGAACUGAGACACGGUCCAGACUCCUAAGGGAGGCAGCAGUGGGGAAUAUUGGACAAUGGGCGAAAGCAUGAUCCAGCCAUGCCGCGUGUGUGAAGAAGGUCUUCGGAUUGUAAAGCACGUUAAGGUGGGAGGAAGGGCAGUAAGUUAAUACCUUGCUGGUUUGACGGUACCAACAGAAGAAGCACCGGCUAACUACGUG
Molecule: ribosomal RNA, 484 nt
Filed under: uncultured bacterium
Lineage: Bacteria
Description: partial 16S ribosomal RNA
Rfam family: Bacterial small subunit ribosomal RNA
Source: RNAcentral